UAGUCCACGCCGUAAACGAUGAUCACUCGGUGUCGCGGAUUUAUCUGCGGUGCCUAAGCUAACGCAUUAAGUGAUCCACCUGGGGAGUACGAUCGCAAGGUUGAAACUCAAAGGGAAUUGACGGGGGCCCGCACAAGCGGUGGAGCAUGUGGCUUAAUUCGAUGCAACGCGAGGAACCUUACCUGGGCUCGAACGCUACCGGACAGUCGCCCGAAAGGGGACGUCUCUUCGGAGCUGGUAGUGAGGUGCUGCAUGGCUGUCGUCAGUUCGUGUCGUGAGAUGUUGGGUUAAGUCCCGCAACGAACGCAACCCCUAUCCGUUAGUUACCAGCGGAUAAUGCCGGGGACUCUAGCGAGACUGCCUGCGCAAGCAGUGAGGAAGGUGGGGAUGACGUCAAGUCAUCAUGGCCCUUAUGCCCAGGGCUGCACACGUGCUACAAUGGUCGGUACAACGGGGCUGGCCACCCCGCGAGGGGGAGCGUAAUCCAUAAAGCCGGCCUCAGUUCGG
RNAcentral lists this ribosomal RNA (507 nucleotides) under uncultured bacterium. RNAcentral's name for it is "bacterial SSU rRNA". It matches the Rfam family "Bacterial small subunit ribosomal RNA", at positions 791 to 1296 of the family's 1533-position model. The record is from RNAcentral.